AGAUGUUAAAAGCAAGAGACAUGGGAGAGCAUCAUUCCUUUGAGAUUUUAUAACUCAAACCAACUUUGGAGUUGUCUGAUUUGGAGAGUCAUUAUUCUUGGUCUUCGCUCUUAGAGGCCACUGAUGAAGAACAGGCGGUGACUGGGAUGAAUGCUGGUCAGAGAGGAGAAUCUUCUUUCCCCUAAACAGCGGUGGUUUUAAAGGAGGACGCUGCCCUGGAUGAUGUAGAUGUCACAUGCUGUGCUGAUGGGGUUUCUUCAUGAUUACAUCAGUUAUGCUAAAGAGAUCAUGAAAAUUGACUGUGAUGCAUGAUCUGUAUACAUGGACUAUGAAACAAACUGUAAGUGUAUAAUUUGUUAAAAAAAAAAAAGUUAAAUGCUUUUUCUGUGUUGUUUAGUAGAAGAGUUUACACUGUCAUUCAUACACCUGCUCACAUUCUUUCACACACACACACACGCGUCUGUUAAAUGUUAUAAUAUCAAAGUUAAUGUUGUGAUUUAUUUGUGUACUGUCAUGCCAGAAUAGUUGGGAAAAAACCUAACUAAUUGUAAAUUUAUUGUAUGUGUUUUCGUAUAUUUUUAUACAAUAUAUACAAUUGAACAAAGUCCAAUUUGAUCUUAAGUUAUAUUCAUCAAAUGUUCAAUGCUUUAUGAACUCUGUAGCUGUUAAUGCCAU
This is a long non-coding RNA of Carassius gibelio (silver crucian carp), 675 nucleotides long. RefSeq lists it as uncharacterized. The transcript is spliced from 3 exons. Lineage: Eukaryota; Metazoa; Chordata; Actinopteri; Cypriniformes; Cyprinidae. The record is from RefSeq and is a predicted model, not a curated record.